Molecule: ribosomal RNA, 579 nt
Filed under: Williopsis jadinii
Lineage: Eukaryota; Fungi; Ascomycota; Saccharomycetes; Phaffomycetales; Wickerhamomycetaceae
Description: Cyberlindnera jadinii partial 26S ribosomal RNA
Rfam family: Eukaryotic large subunit ribosomal RNA
Source: RNAcentral
AAACCAACAGGGAUUGCCUCAGUAACGGCGAGUGAAGCGGCAAAAGCUCAAAUUUGAAAUCUGAGGCUNUCAGCCCCCGAGUUGUAAUUUGAAGAUGGUGUUCUGGNGCCGGCCCCCUGUCUACGUUCCUUGGAACAGGACAUCACAGAGGGUGAGAAUCCCGUCUGGCGGGGCGGCCUGGCUCCGUGUAGAGCGCCAUCGACGAGUCGAGUUGUUUGGGAAUGCAGCUCUAAGUGGGUGGUAAAUUCCAUCUAAAGCUAAAUAUUGGCGAGAGACCGAUAGCGAACAAGUACAGUGAUGGAAAGAUGAAAAGAACUUUGAAAAGAGAGUGAAAAAGUACGUGAAAUUGUUGAAAGGGAAGGGUAUUGGAUCAGACUUGGUGCUGUGCGAAUAGCGGCUCUUCUUGGGCCGCCCACUCGCACUCCACCGGGCCAGCAUCGGUUUGGGCGGCAAGACAAUGGCGGGGGAACGUGGCACUGCUCUCGGGCAGUGUGUUUAUAGCCCCCGCUGAUGUUGCCUGCCUAGACCGAGGACUGCGGCUUCUGCCUAGGAUGCUGGCGUAAUGAUCCAACACCGCCC